This 500-nucleotide ribosomal RNA is filed under the name uncultured bacterium. Its description in RNAcentral is "partial 16S ribosomal RNA". It matches the Rfam family "Bacterial small subunit ribosomal RNA", at positions 30 to 523 of the family's 1533-position model. The record is from RNAcentral.
AUUGAACGCUGGCGGAAUGCUUUACACAUGCAAGUCGAACGGCAGCACGGACUUCGGUCUGGUGGCGAGUGGCGAACGGGUGAGUAAUGUAUCGGAACGUGCCCAGUCGUGGGGGAUAACGUAGUGAAAAUUACGCUAAUACCGCAUACGAUCUAUGGAUGAAAGCGGGGGAUCGCAAGACCUCGCGCGAUUGGAGCGGCCGAGAUCAGAUUAGGUAGUUGGGGGGGUAAAGGCCCACCAAGCCAACGAUCUGUAGCUGGUCUGAAAGGACGACCAGCCACACUGGAACUGAGACACGGUCCAGACUCCUACGGGGGGCAGCAGUGGGGAAUUUUGGACAAUGGGCGAAAGCCUGAUCCAGCCAUUCCGCGUGCAGGAUGAAGGCCCUCGGGUUGUAAACUGCUUUUGUACAGAACGAAAAGGUUUCUACUAAUACUAGGAGCUCAUGACGGUACUGUAAGAAUAAGCACCGGCUAACUACGUGCCAGCAGCCGCCGCCG